CUACGGGAGGCUCCAGUGAGGAAUAUUGCACAAUGGGGGGAACCCUGAUGCAGCAACGCCGCGUGGAGGAUGACGCAUUUCGGUGUGUAAACUCCUUUUAUAUGUCAAGAAAAUGACGGUAGCAUAUGAAUAAGCACCGGCUAACUCCGUGCCAGCAGCCGCGGUAAUACGGAGGGUGCGAGCGUUACUCGGAAUCACUGGGCGUAAAGGACGCGUAGGCGGGUUGGAAAGUCAGGCGUGAAAUCCUACAGCUUAACUGUAGAACUGCACUUGAAACUUCUAAUCUAGAGUAUGGGAGGGGGAGAUGGAAUUAGUGGUGUAGGGGUAAAAUCCGUAGAUAUCACUAGGAAUACCUAAAGCGAAGGCGAUCUCCUGGAACAUUACUGACGCUAAGGCGUGAAAGCGUGGGGAGCAAACAGGAUUAGAUACCCGGGUAGUC
This 439-nucleotide ribosomal RNA is filed under the name uncultured bacterium. RNAcentral's name for it is "partial 16S ribosomal RNA". It matches the Rfam family "Bacterial small subunit ribosomal RNA", at positions 339 to 795 of the family's 1533-position model. The record is from RNAcentral.